UUGAAAGGGAAAAUAACCCAGAGAGAGAGAUCGCGAGAGACAGAUCGAGAGAGGGAGAAGAACUGAAGUAAACUGAGAAGAUCGAGAGAGACAGGUCGAGAUCUGAAAUCCCAUGAUCUUUUUACGGCGUGAAGAACUGAACUGAGAAGAUUCAAGGAUACUGAAACAGAAUGGGUAGUGAGGAUAGGAAUUUAUGGAUACAAGGAGUCUGUGACCAAGGACAAUCAGCAAAUUUAUGAUCACCAACAUAAGCAUCACAACCUCCUUUAUACCGAGGUGCCGUGGAUUUAAUUGCAUCAUCAAACCAUUUGAAGUACGAACACAUAGGAUUAGAGCAAGAGAAGAUUUUCUUCCCUGAAUUAGCACCAUCUUUGACCUUAAUAAGUUUUCGAAUACCAUUACAAGGAACUAAUUUACACCUUGUGUAGAUCCAAGGACAAUCAAUUGAUUGAUGAUUUUUUUCGUUGCACAUCUCACAUACCUGCAAAUUAAGUAAAAA
Long non-coding RNA from Papaver somniferum (opium poppy), 499 nucleotides. RefSeq lists it as uncharacterized. The transcript has 2 exons. Lineage: Eukaryota; Viridiplantae; Streptophyta; Magnoliopsida; Ranunculales; Papaveraceae. The record is from RefSeq and is a predicted model, not a curated record.